GUUUAUUUCAUGUCAUUUACUCCAAAAGCAAGGUCCAGCUCCAAAGUGUUAUAGCCUUCAGUACUAAACAUGACUUGGUGAAAAAAUGGAAAAUGCCAAAGAUAUAUUGCAGGACGAUAGUUUCCCAAAGUCAGGACUGGAGAAGAGAGAAACUACCAAAAGAAUUAUCCCCAAAAGGAUAAUCCACUUUGCAAAUGGAGACACUAUAGAUGAAUAUAGCACAGAAGAAGAAGAUGAUGAGAAAGAAGAAUUAAAGAAUACUCCAACACUUGCUACUUCUAAACUUCCAUGGGGGCCAUACUUGCGAUUUUGGGCUGUACGAAUGACAAGCGCUACAUUUUCCAGUAAGUGCCUUCAUUUUAGCUCUUCAAGAUGACGAUUUCUCUUUUUGACACGG
This 397-nucleotide long non-coding RNA is filed under the name Vombatus ursinus (common wombat). RNAcentral describes it as "lncRNA (ENSVURG00010009605.1)". Lineage: Eukaryota; Metazoa; Chordata; Mammalia; Diprotodontia; Vombatidae. The record is from RNAcentral.